RNAcentral lists this ribosomal RNA (542 nucleotides) under Cladosporium cladosporioides. Its description in RNAcentral is "eukaryotic LSU rRNA". The stretch from base 213 to 365 matches the Rfam family "5.8S ribosomal RNA". Lineage: Eukaryota; Fungi; Ascomycota; Dothideomycetes; Cladosporiales; Cladosporiaceae. The record is from RNAcentral.
UUGAAGGUGAAGUCGUAACAAGGUCUCCGUAGGUGAACCUGCGGAGGGAUCAUUAUAAGUUCACCCAGGCUUGUACAGCUGGGGACUGACAACCCUUUGAUUUCCGACUCUGUUGCCUCCGGGGCGACCUUGCCUUCGGGCGGGGGCUCCGGGUGGACACUUCAAACUCUUGCGUAACUUUGCAGUCUGAGUAAACUUAAUUAAUAAAUUAAAACUUUUAACAACGGAUCUCUUGGUUCUGGCAUCGAUGAAGAACGCAGCGAAAUGCGAUAAGUAAUGUGAUUGCAGAAUUCAGUGAAUCAUCGAAUCUUUGAACGCACAUUGCGCCCCCUGGUAUUCCGGGGGGCAUGCCUGUUCGAGCGUCAUUUCACCACUCAAGCCUCGCUUGGUAUUGGGCAACGCGGUCCGCCGCGUGCCUCAAAUCGUCCGGCUGGGUCUUCUGUCCCCUAAGCGUUGUGGAAACUAUUCGCUAAAGGGUGUUCGGGAGGCUACGCCGUAAAACAACCCCAUAACUAAGGUGACCUCGAUCAGUAUGAUCCAUC